GAUGAACGCUAGCGGCAGGCCUAAUACAUGCAAGUCGAACGGGAUCUGAGGGUAGCUUGCUACCCGGUUUGAGAGUGGCGCACGGGUGCGUAACGCGUGAGCAACCUACCCAUAUCAGGGGGAUAGCCCGAAGAAAUUCGGAUUAACACCGCAUAACAAUACGUUAACACAUGUUAAUGUAUUUAAAUAUUUAUAGGAUAUGGAUGGGCUCGCGUGACAUUAGCUAGUUGGUAAGGUAACGGCUUACCAAGGCGACGAUGUCUAGGGGCUCUGAGAGGAGAAUCCCCCACACUGGUACUGAGACACGGACCAGACUCCUACGGGAGGCAGCAGUAAGGAAUAUUGGUCAAUGGGCGCAAGCCUGAACCAGCCAUGCCGCGUGCAGGAUGACUGCCCUAUGGGUUGUAAACUGCUUUUGUUAGGGAAUAAACCUACUUAUGUAUAAGUAGCUGAAUGUACCUAAAGAAUAAGGAUCGGCUAACUCCGUGCCAGCAGCCGCCGUAA
RNAcentral lists this ribosomal RNA (504 nucleotides) under uncultured bacterium. RNAcentral describes it as "partial 16S ribosomal RNA". It matches the Rfam family "Bacterial small subunit ribosomal RNA", at positions 28 to 523 of the family's 1533-position model. The record is from RNAcentral.